This is a non-coding RNA of Aedes aegypti (yellow fever mosquito), 56 nucleotides long. The record is from Rfam. NCBI's taxonomy places the organism in Eukaryota, Metazoa, Arthropoda, Insecta, Diptera, Culicidae.
AGCUUAGUUGGUAAAGCGCUCGUCUAGCAUACAAGAGUCCUGGGUUCAAAUCCCAG